Corticium candelabrum is the source of this 216-nucleotide long non-coding RNA. RefSeq lists it as uncharacterized. NCBI's taxonomy places the organism in Eukaryota, Metazoa, Porifera, Homoscleromorpha, Homosclerophorida, Plakinidae. The transcript has 3 exons. The record is from RefSeq and is a predicted model, not a curated record.
ACUGAAGCCCAGACAAACAAUUUUAUCUUGCCAUGGUGAUUGAGCUGGAGACCAAAAAAAUGGCAAGACAAGACAAUCCAAUUAAAGCAGCGAAGAGACAACUUUCGUUGGAUUAUUUGGAAGAGGCUGUCAAUGUUGAAGCCAAGAAAAUUGCAAGCAAAAAGAAAAUGUCUUCAGUGGCCAGUGCCAAGGCUAUGGAAAGAGACAUUGUCUUGG